CGACGUUGGACCAGAACGUGCUGUUAGUGGCGGUGGAGGAGGAGGAGGAUGGCGGCGGCGGCGACGGCGACGAGGGAGCAGGAGAUGGCGCCGCCGACGUUUGGCAGUGGACCAACGUGAACCGGCUGUCCAUGGACAUUACGAAGGUAGAGAGGCUCGCCACCAUGGCAAGGAGGAGCAGGCAACGGCCCUGGCGGUGGCCGGAUGGAGACGACGGCAUGGGUGGUGUUCUGAUCGAGGAAGUAGCUAGGAAGUUAACGGCAGUGGGUGAUCAUGGCAGCCUGAGUGGUCAUCACAGUUGGAUGCAUGAUUGGCGUAGACAGGCCAUUUGGCGAAGACUUGACUUGACUUCACGGUAUACUGAUAAUGGCAUGAUUUGUUCGGUGGACCUUCUCCAUCCCUGUAGAAUGCAGAGUCGUCGGGCGUCAGGUUGCAUGCAGAUGCACUUGCAGGUUGAUGUAAGUAGUGGUUCAUACAUUGAUAUGAUUGCUAUUAGAUUGAGACAGUAGUAACUAAUUUGUUCAGUUUCAUCACUUCAUGGAGAAUAGGGUGUUAGGAAUGCACUAACCAUUAUUUUACUGCACCUUUUAUCUAAUCAGUGUAAAUUUCAUUUUCUAUUCUUUUCUACUAUCUCAGGUCUAAGAAACUAGCAGGUGUACCACUUGAAACCAACUUAUGACACAUACAAAAUAACAAUCUUAACGGUGUCUCUGGGUCGGUCAAUCCAACACCAUGUUCACUAACAUGUGUUCAUAUUAUUAAUCUGAUAUCUCUAUAUCUAGGAUCCAUGAAAGGUGAUCAUCAAUUAAUAAAUGUGCUAGUCUGUGUGUCAUUAUUGUCCCACAUAAUGAUAUAGACUAGGAAUCGUUUAGAAUAACAUGAUAAUCAACAAAGAGUUCCAUGAACCAGUCACAUACUUGAUAAUCAGUGUAAAUGAUAGUUACUCAAGGAACAAAUAACACUUUAUUCAAUAGUACAUAAAUAUAGUCAUGAUACAAAUCUUCCACACACACUAGGAUCGUUGAUGCAAGUAUCUAAUACUCAUAUAUUUGUUGUGCACUCCGCCGCCUCAUGCACUGCAUCAGCCCGUACAUGGUUCCGUUGGGGACGCCGGGGUCAUACACGGCCUCCCCUGUCGCGAACAUCGGCACCUCCGGGAAGGAGGCCGGCGCGGUGUCGCCGGAGCCGUUGACGACGCACGCGGCGAGCCGCAUCAUGAGCGUGUAGUAUGUGUUCUCGAAGGUGCCCUUGUCACGGGCCUACCCCGUGUUAUGCAUUUCGUAGCGGUACUGCUCGUAGGGCGUGGACGUGUUGGUGUCGGCAAAGAUGACGAAGCAGAACAUCGGCGCUGGAUAUGUCACGGUGGAGCCAUCGUCGUACCAGAUGGCGGCGCGGCGGCUGUUGCUGUUGCACUGGCUCCGGAUGCCCAUGGCGGCGCUCCGGAAUGCGACGACGUUGGACCAGAACGUGCUGUUAGUGGCGGACCAAGGUACUAAAUAGCGGCGGUAGCGGCCGCAAUAGCGGUAGCGGCCUAUUGCCGCUAUCGCUACUAGGUAGCGGUCGGGCUGUUGCGGUUUGGAACUUUGCGACUGCAAUUGCGCUAUAGCGGGCCACAAUAGCGGUGGUAGUAGGCUGCAAUAGCGUGGAACCAAAAAAACCCUCCCAACCUACCCACACAGACUCCACCAGUGCACCCCCAUCGGUCAUUCGGCCUUGCCAUUCAGAACACGCCGCCGCCACCCGUGUUGGUUGCCCGCCGCCGCCACCCUUCACCGGUGCCGCCACCCUUCGCCAGCGCCGCCGAUUCACGUACUCGAGCUCCUCCUGAUCCUCAUGGACCUCCGUCGUCUUACACUCUUAAUUUAAGCAUGUGAGACAUGUAUGCAAUUAAAUAUCUAUUUACACUUAUUAUUCAUGAUAUAUAUAUAAUUAAAAUUAUGUGAGAUUAUUAGGUGCCGCUAUUGAAACUUAUCGUCCGCAAUAUCGCUCGCUAUCCGCAAUCCGCUACCUCGACGUCAAUCCGCUACUAACCCGCUAUUCGCUAUUUAUUACGGUGGUGGAGGAGGAGAAUGGCGGCGGCAACGACGGCGACGAGGGAGCAGGAGAUGGCGCCGCUGACGUUUGGCAGUGGACCAAUGUGAACCGGCUGUCCAUGGACAUUACGAAGGUAGAGAGGCUCGCCACCAUGGCAAGGAGGAGCAGGCAACGGCCCUGGCGGUGGCCGGAUGGAGACGACAGCAUGGGUGGUGUUCUGAUUGAGGAAGUAGCUA
This 2270-nucleotide long non-coding RNA is filed under the name Setaria italica (foxtail millet). RNAcentral describes it as "long non-coding RNA (SITA_LNC004243)". The record is from RNAcentral. Lineage: Eukaryota; Viridiplantae; Streptophyta; Magnoliopsida; Poales; Poaceae.